GCCGAUCCUUCUCUUCCCCAAGCCCCUUGCGCGAUGCCACCCUUCCUUUCUCGCAAUCUCCCGCAACCCAGCCACUGGCCCUCCUCAAGCAAACGCCAAGACACCGUUGGCCCUCCUCCCGCGAGCAUCCGGACGCCGACGAUCUCUCCUCCUCUUCCUCCCUGAGCCGCAUGCCGCCCGGUCUCCUUUUUCUCUCCCAAGCCGCACCGCCGAGCCCUCCUUCACUCUCCCUCGCGAAUUCUCGCACCAGUAGCCGGCAAGAUUCUUCUCCUCCUCACAUGAACACCUCAGACGCCACCUCUGCCCUAGCUUCGGCCGCUUGAUCCACUGCCACCUCCGGCCACAACAAAAGCUAUCCAGCAAGUUCAUUCUCUAUGUAGUUGCGAGAUAUGUGAGGAUACUGGUUCGGGAUGAGCGUCUCGACGUGAGACUACUUGACAUGGUCUACGUAUAAAGACGGGUAACAGGUAGAUGAGUCACGGAUGCUUGGUGAGAUGCCGGCUGCCAGUCCUGGGUCCUGCGUUAUAUCAGUUUUAUCUCCGCUUUACUUGUAUUUUUAGUAUACAAUGGUUUUAAUAUUGUAUGAACUGGUCUGUGUUUGGAGUUUGAUUCAUGGUGUUUUGCUUUCGUGAUCUUAUGGUUGUGUAAGCCUAAUUGGCUAGUAAACUUUACUUGUGGAUUGUGGGUUUUCUCUUCGUUUGUUUUUCCGCUGUGUUUUUGACAUAGCCGUGUGUGCUAAAUAUUAACUGUGUGGUUGUUUUAUUAAUUCAUGUCCAGCCGGGUAGGCUGUGUAUAUUAAACUCUGUGGUUAUGUUAUUUUUAUUCUGUGUA
Zingiber officinale is the source of this 831-nucleotide long non-coding RNA. RefSeq lists it as uncharacterized. Lineage: Eukaryota; Viridiplantae; Streptophyta; Magnoliopsida; Zingiberales; Zingiberaceae. The transcript has 3 exons. The record is from RefSeq and is a predicted model, not a curated record.